This is a long non-coding RNA of Cucumis melo (muskmelon), 952 nucleotides long. RefSeq lists it as uncharacterized. The transcript is spliced from 2 exons. The record is from RefSeq and is a predicted model, not a curated record. NCBI's taxonomy places the organism in Eukaryota, Viridiplantae, Streptophyta, Magnoliopsida, Cucurbitales, Cucurbitaceae.
UGAAAAUGAAACCUUUUGUUUUCUUAAUUUUCCAAUGGUUAACAGAUUCAUUAGCCAUCAAUAUUGCAUCGGUUAUCUGCCUUCCUUUGACAAAAGCAUGUUGAUUAGAGGCAAUAGUUUAAGCUGAUUGGUCUAUAGUCCAUAGGGGUGUUGCAUUCUGUUUUUUUUGCAAUCAAUGCUAUGAAAGUGUUAUUCAUAUUCCUGUUGACUUUUUGGCUUUUAUGGAAGUCUUUGAACACUUCCAUCACGUCUUGUUUGAGGAUUGACCAGAAUCUUUUGUAGAAAUCCAUUGUAUAGGCAUCCAGACUAGGAGCCUUGUCAUUACUGAAAGAGAAGAUUGCGUUUUUGACCUCUUGUUCUGAAAAAUUGUUUACAGGUUCUCAUGGUGGUUCUUCUUCUGGGCUAUGUAUUGUAUUAUUUUGUUCCCUUCCCAAUUUUUGAUAGUGGUGGAUAGUCUCUUGAGCCUUUCUAUGAAAGUAAAGCCUGGGUAGCCAUCCAUUUUUGUGUCUACCCACCAACAAGGUAUGUUUCUUUUGAAAUCUUUUUCUCUGAUGAGCUGGUUGCUUAUUUUGAAAGGAGAAGGGCCCCAUGUAAACUCCGAGCAAUCUAAAACAAUUGGAAAAUGGUUUGAAGUAAUUCAUGGAAGGGUUCCGGAGUGCGGCUUAAACGUGGUUUCUCAUUCCAUGUUAUGUAGGAAUCUAUCCAGGCCAGGCGAGACAAAACUGGGGCGCUUCUCAUGUUUGAGCAGGUGAAUCUAUUAUUUGUGAGCGGCGGAUCAAGAAGCUUGCAUCCAUGUAUGAAUCUGUUGGAGGAGUUUAAAAUGUUAAAAAUCAAAAUUCCUCCUCCCGUUCAUUUUGGCACAUUUUCAUUUUACUUCCCCUCCACAAAUUAUUAAUAGCUGUCCCAACACCAAAACCAUAACUUUUCAAUGGGUUCAAAAUGGUUUAGAUUC